GGAGAGGUCGCAUAGGGGCCGAUUGCGGCCGGUUGCUAACCGGCUAAAGGGCUGCCCGCUCUUUCGUGGGUUCGAAUCCUACCCUCUCCGCCA
Molecule: transfer RNA, 93 nt
Filed under: Dehalococcoidia bacterium
Lineage: Bacteria; Bacillati; Chloroflexota; Dehalococcoidia
Description: tRNA-Ser
Rfam family: tRNA
About the family: Transfer RNA (tRNA) molecules are approximately 80 nucleotides in length. Their secondary structure includes four short double-helical elements and three loops (D, anti-codon, and T loops). Further hydrogen bonds mediate the characteristic L-shaped molecular structure. tRNAs have two regions of fundamental functional importance: the anti-codon, which is responsible for specific mRNA codon recognition, and the 3' end, to which the tRNAs corresponding amino acid is attached (by aminoacyl-tRNA synthetases). tRNAs cope with the degeneracy of the genetic code in two manners: having more than one tRNA (with a specific anti-codon) for a particular amino acid; and 'wobble' base-pairing, i.e. permitting non-standard base-pairing at the 3rd anti-codon position.
Source: RNAcentral